GUGGCCGAAUGGUAACGCUGUCCGCUUAGUAAGCGGAAGAUCAUGGGAUCGAUUCCCAUC
Molecule: transfer RNA, 60 nt
Organism: Culex pipiens (northern house mosquito)
Lineage: Eukaryota; Metazoa; Arthropoda; Insecta; Diptera; Culicidae
Rfam family: tRNA
About the family: Transfer RNA (tRNA) molecules are approximately 80 nucleotides in length. Their secondary structure includes four short double-helical elements and three loops (D, anti-codon, and T loops).
Source: Rfam